UACGUAGGUGGCAAGCGUUGUCCGGAUUUACUGGGCGUAAAGGGCGUGCAGGCGGCUUGUUAAGUGCAGGGUGAAAGCUCCCGGCUCAACUGGGAGAGGUUCUUGCAUACUGGCGAGCUCGAGGGAGGCAGAGGAAAGUGGAAUUCCCGGUGUAGUGGUGAUAUGCGUAGAGAUGUGGAGGAACACCAGUGGCGAAGGCGACUCUUUGGUCUGUAACUGACGCUGAGGCGCGAAAGCGUUGGGAGCAAACAGG
This 253-nucleotide ribosomal RNA is filed under the name uncultured bacterium. Its description in RNAcentral is "partial 16S ribosomal RNA". It matches the Rfam family "Bacterial small subunit ribosomal RNA", at positions 524 to 776 of the family's 1533-position model. The record is from RNAcentral.